RNAcentral lists this small RNA (106 nucleotides) under Marmota monax (woodchuck). Lineage: Eukaryota; Metazoa; Chordata; Mammalia; Rodentia; Sciuridae. The record is from RNAcentral.
GCCGGGUGUGGUGGCGCACACCUAUGAUCCCAGAGCUCUGGAGGCAGAGGCAGGAGGAUGGAAAGUUCCAGAGCAGUCUAGUCAAUAUAGUGAGACCCUGUCUCCA